AUCUGCCAGGAUGUUUUCAUUAAUCAAGAACGAAAGUUAGGGGAUCGAAGACGAUCAGAUACCGUCGUAGUCUUAACCAUAAACGAUGCCGACCAGCGAUUAGGAGACGUUGAAUACAAAACACCACCAUCGGCGCGGUCGUCCCUGGCUCCGUCGUCUCACGACGGCGGGCGGGGGCGGUUUAGCCCGAUGGCACCGGUGAAUGACUCCCCUAGCAGCUUGUGAGA
RNAcentral lists this ribosomal RNA (227 nucleotides) under Acanthamoeba sp. RNAcentral describes it as "partial 18S ribosomal RNA". It matches the Rfam family "Eukaryotic small subunit ribosomal RNA", at positions 954 to 1095 of the family's 1831-position model. The record is from RNAcentral. Lineage: Eukaryota; Discosea; Longamoebia; Acanthamoebidae.